GGCAAGCAGAAAACACUCAUGAUACUUCAAAUAACAAUAGCCAGAUAUAGUACAAGCUCUACAAAUAACACGUACUACAAGCUGUAACAUAUACAAUACUUUACAAGUACUACAAGUUACACGUAAUACAAGCUUAGUUGAUACAAGCUCUACAAGUAUGGGAAUCACAGUUACAAGCUCCACAAGUGUUUUCUUCUUCUACAUGUAACUCCUUCAAUAUCGAUCAAAUGCCAGACUCACUGGAGGGCCAUAGUCAGGACUGGACCUUCCACGGACGCCCUGUUACAUGAAUCAGCUGAUAAGAAUUAGAAAAACUGGAGCCAAUAUAUUAUGAACAUCCCAUUCAAAAAACGAGUAAAGGAGUAAAGGACAUUCUUUGUUUCAUCACGUUACAAAGGAGCAGCACAAACCACAAAUUUACUCGACACACACACACAUACACGCAUGCAUUCUAAAUAUACUAAAUCUAGCUAGGUUUCUUUUACCUGGUUUUUUUGACUUUUUUCUAUCAGUGAAAACUAUGCCAAUGAGAUAGGGACACGUUAUUUACUGGGGGACAUGGGCGUGUGAGCGCCGGGGUGGACUUAGUGAUUUAGGUUACUGGGGACAUGCUUUCUGCCCGCACAUGGGCUGCAUGCCGGCGUGUUUGAUUUGGUCAUAUCGUUUUUGUCCGCUUGCUGUUUUGCCUGGCCGACUGCAUGGCGCCGUGAUUCAUGGGCGGGCUGCUGCAUGUGCGUCUGCAUGCGGCCGUGGUUGAUUCAACUGCGUUUUUUUUCUUCCGUAUUUUUCUGUCGUUCAGUUGCAUGCCGUUUGAGUUUUUUGCUUCUCUGUGCGUGUCCAUCCACGUGUUGCAUGGAUAGUGGUCAUUGUAUGAUGUUGUUACAUGUCGAGUGCAUUGUGUUGAUUGGGAGCUCGCCACGUUAUUCGGUACUGUCACCAUCUGUUUAUAGAGGUUGACGUGUGUUGGGCUUCCAGGCGGUGCCGCUCUUGCCGUAUGGUCUCGAAACCAUUUUUUUCGAUCGUUCUGUAUCUUUCUGGUUAAUUCGAUUUAGGUUUCUUGUUCCUGGAGGACGCUAUAUAUAGGUGGCUCUCCCCGUUGGUUUUCUUUGCCUCGCUGGCUGCGAUUUCUAUUUUAUGCCUAUUGAUGGUUCGUCCUGCCUCUGCCCGGAGCCGGAGCGACUUGCUUCGCCCAGGCCGCCAUCCUGGUGUUCGAGCAGCCGUCAUUAAUCGGGUGUCUAAUGGCUGGAGCCGAGCUGCUGCCUGAGGUCGUCGUGCGUUAAUGAGAGAGGAUGCCGUUGGUGGCCGACUGUCCGUGUCCGAUGUUCAUUUGUUGCGUUGGGUUCGUCGUCCUGUCUGCCUUGUAGUUACUGGUUGGUUUGGUCUAUCUGCUUGCUUCUCUNNNNNNNNNNNNNNNNNNNNNNNNNNNNNNNNNNNNNNNNNNNNNNNNNNNNNNNNNNNNNNNNNNNNNNNNNNNNNNNNNNNNNNNNNNNNNNNNNNNNNNNNNNNNNNNNNNNNNNNNNNNNNNNNNNNNNNNNNNNNNNNNNNNNNNNNNNNNNNNNNNNNNNNNNNNNNNNNNNNNNNNNNNNNNNNNNNNNNNNNNNNNNNNNNNNNNNNNNNNNNNNNNNNNNNNNNNNNNNNNNNNNNNNNNNNNNNNNNNNNNNNNNNNNNNNNNNNNNNNNNNNNNNNNNNNNNNNNNNNNNNNNNNNNNNNNNNNNNNNNNNNNNNNNNNNNNNNNNNNNNNNNNNNNNNNNNNNNNNNNNNNNNNNNNNNNNNNNGUGUUUGUUUUCUUGAUCUUUGUAGGGGCUGGGUCUACAUCUCUAUAAUGAUUCGUCUGCUGGUGGUUUGUACAUUCUGGUGGCCACAACCUCGGCGACCCGGGCUACAACGAAAGUGGCUGUGGCGGGGAUGGACGAUGCUCCUGCUGCACGCGGAGCUCUGGUGGAGGUGGCUCAUGCAUCUGGUGCGCCUGCAGGGGCGGUGGUAUUGAACUCUUGAUGGUGCGCAUGGCAUACUUCGUGAGGCAAAGCAGCCUGGGGGCGCGAGGUGGCCCGCUCGAUGGUGCCUGCGUGCAGGUUUCCCGGGAUCCGUCUUGGGUGCUGGAGCUAUCACGCCGCCGCCACUCCAGUUGCUGUCUCCGGCCGCUGCGUAGCUCCGCUGCUCGCAAGUUGUGCAGAGACAACCGUUGUCUAGCCCCGUUUACUUGUCGGAGCCGAUCCGGUUCUUAGAGAGAGAGAAGAGGUAGCGGUAUGGGGCUCAUGAUGCCAAGGUCCACGGUCCAGCUGCCACUGUCUACCUCUGUCUAGGUUGAGCUCGAGGGCGGGAGCUGGCGGUGCGCUAGGGAACCGGCGGAACGAGCUGGCGGUGCCGCCGUGCUCCACAACAUGGAGUAUGCCAUCGUCAUGGACUCAAACGCCCAUUGCCCGGGUGCUUUGCUGUUUGCGGCGUGGUUGGUCGCCACGAUACUCAACUUCGCGGAUUCUACGUCCGGUGUCUGCUAUCGGACUCUACGCGGGCGACUAUGAGGUGGCGGGGCAGUCGACGGGCCCUAGGCAUGCCGGCGCACGCGUUCUCGCCGACUUGGGCGAUUCAGCGGCUUCGUGUUGUGCGUGUCGCUGGACGCGGCCGUCGAUUAAGGAUCGGUGGCGGGUGCACGAGAUGGACGACCUGCUCGGGUUUGCCUACUCGAUGGAGAAUGACAAUCAUGCGCGGAUCCGUAUGACUAUCACGUCACGGGAGCUGACCAACCACGACGUCGUCACGGUAUCCAGAGCCUGUAAGAGAGCAACUCAAACUUCAAUGUCGUCACACCGCCGGCGACGAGUUGCAGGGAAAUCCAUAGCAGGUCCGCGAGCAUGCACUUCGCGCGGUGGAGCGGCUCGGCCGGCGUAGCGCGCACAAGCGUUUGUGUGGGUAGUUGCUCAUCGAUGGACGACCUUUUUUCAGAACUUUGUGAGCAUUUAAACACUGGUCACUGGGUGUGGAAGAUAGGGUAUAUUGUAUAUACGUGAUUUUUACAUGUAUAGAGCAAAUAAUACACAAAUUAAUAGAUACUGGAGGCUUUUCAAAGAAAAUAUGAUACACUUGGCAAAAAUAAAAUGAUACUCUGAGUUCACUAAGCGAUUCAUUCCUUCUAGAUUUUCUGGGCGAUCUCUUCUUUCCUCGACGAUUUUCUUAUCUACUCCAUCGGGUGGAUGGGCAGAGAGAGGGAGAGCUCCCAUGUAUGCGAGCUCUUACGUCGGGUAGGGAAUUCAGACUAUAAACGGGUACGACCAAUCAGCUGCAUGCAAACUACCUCCAUCUAUGUAUCCGAUCCAUGCAAAACCAGGAUGGUAAAUCAAUCCUAAAUUAACUUAACAGGUCAACUCUUUCCUUUGUAUAUCUUUUAUUCUUGUCAAGCCUUUCCUUGGGUCGUUCCUUAUGCGUAGAGUAAAAAAAGGAGGAAGUACAAGCUAGCUAACAAGAAAAAUAAUUUAUCACAUGGCAUAUGUAAUAAGCUAUAAAAAACCAGAAAAUAAUUUUGUCCUGGGGGUUCGGUUCGAGGUGAGUAUUGAGGAUCAGUAAUUAACUGCUUUACACGAGAAAUGUUGGGAGGUUAACAUAAAUCUAGGGAAGAAAUUGGACGCAUCGACUGGCUUAAACUGAACUUUGCAAAUCGUUCCUCUUACCGUCCCCAAUUUGUUGAAAUUGUAAAAUUACCACACAUACAUGGAUUUUACAAGAAAUAUGUGAGGCAUUAUACAACUUCAUAUACCCACGACACCCAUAUCCGAUGAUCCGAUAGUACCAUGCACCAGGCUUAAACCACCUCAGGAUCACCUUCAAGAAUUGUAUUUUUCUAAAUGUACCAUCUACUGCCUUAACUUUACAAUAAAAUAAUGGACUAAAUUCAUACUUUUUGUAAACCUAGAUAUAUGACUAUUAGCUAAAAACAUAAACUAUAAAACAUCCAUACACAUCAAUAAACAUAUCAUUCACACAUUUACACUAUUAUAUAACCAGAUGAUCCUUAAGACUGUAUUUAUUUAUAGACAAACAAACACAACCCGAUGACAAAGUUAAGAUAUCAUUUCAAAUUAAUUCCAAUCAGCUUUUGCGAUAGCAUAUCCAUAUGCCUUUCUGUCAUCCCAUUUCGUAGUUCAACACCAUAUCGUAUAUUUUGCAUCAAGGAAAAGCAUUAUUUUCCCAAUCUACACCCUUCAUUUCAAAUUAGCCAUCUUCCCAAGUGAACAUAUGAUUCUCUCUACAACUUCCUCUGUGUAUUCACGUCAAAUAUAACUCAUUGGUCCGAUCAACUAUAUCUUCUAUCAAAUCAAACAUGUUAUCACUCGAUAUGAGUACGUUCACACUAAAAAUGUACUUUCACAAUACAAAUGUAACAACUCAUACUAUAUUUCCCCUCACCAAGACGUCUACUUUCGAAAGUGUGUUCUCUUUCACCUAUAGUGUUAGGAAUAUCCACAAAGAGACCUCUUCGUUCAACAUAUCCCAUAUCUGCGAUCCUCAAGACAGCACAACUAUUAAGACAAGGGAAAAUUAGUAUUUUUUAUUACAUGAGCAAAAAAUAGCACUUACACACGCAACGUAUCGAUGGGGUGCGGCGUGCCGCCGCACGGGCUAAGCUAGUAUUAAGCUAAGUUCCAGCAACUAUAUCAUGGUUUAAUAGAGCAUGUAAUGAAUGACAGUUCAAUUUCACAGCCGGCCUCAGCAUCAUCAAACCACCAUGCUUAUGAUCAUAACCUAAGCAUAUCAUCAAACAAAACCUACAUAGAUAAAGAUCACGGCACAUCAAGCCACAAGCGUUGGCAUGAGAUUCAAUGCAACAGCGAUGGGGCUACCACAACAGCAUCAAAAACCUAAGCAUACUACAGAAAAUACAUAGUUGGUGCUGGAGGGACUGGUGAAUUACCUCAGUGGCGUACUUGAUGGGUGAUGAUGGUCCUUCUCAAGGAAGUAGUUGUUGUCCACAGUUAAGAGGUUUCAUACAUUUGUCUACAACAUCCAGCAAACCAGAAAUAAGAACGAACACUUCAAUCUCAUAAGAAGUUUAAAAAAUAAUAUAGCAGGACCUAAUUAAUGUUGCAAAUUAUAUUAUGGAUGCAUACAUUGUGAUGCGAAAAAUGAUUAGAUCAUCAUAAAAUGACAUUCAACAUCUAUGUAAUAAAUUGCUAACAAACCUAUACAGAUCAUCCAUUGCUAACAAACCUAUACAUAAAGUAAUAAAUUGUACCCCCUAAUACAGACCAUGAAUUGGGCCGAACAAGCUCGUGUUAACUGGCUACCAUUCGAAUCAUAAUUGUACCAUGGCAUAGAAAAGAAUUCAGUAACCUCACUUCUACAAAUUAACCUGAUGCUGUUGUACUCCUACACCAUUAAAGCUCAUGGUCGGGAUAAACAAUACUAAUAACCCAUAGAUAGCAUGGUAUAGAAUCAAGCAAACAGUUAAUACUAGCUAUCUCAAGGAACAACAAAAAAUAAAUGUUGAGAACUAUGGUACAAUAAACAUACAAGACAUAUGUCGUCCAUGGAAUCAGUGCAUUGCUGUAGCAGAUCACCAGGUAUGGUGCCAUGCCGCAUAAUUGAUUUCCUGAACUCAGUAUGCUACACUUGUCUAUCCCACAUCAGGGCUCAUGAAUCCUCAUCAAAGUGUCAAAUUUUACCUGAAGUAGGGCAGUGGUCACAGCGAAAACCACGUACAGGUCAAUGAUCUGCACGGCACGAGAAGCACAUCAGGAAUUCGGUAGCCGUGAGUGGCAGACAAAAAAAUACUGUUAGGAAAUCUGUACACGAAUGAGGCAUAGAGCAGCAAAAUGAGAUAGAUAUUCAUGAUCUUCACAGCAUGAAUCCAAAUCCUACGGCUGAUAGUGGCCCUCUUUAUACUACAAACGACACCUGUACACAACCAUUGACACCGUUCAAGAAUCACAACAGCACACUAAGAAAAAUGAUAGGUUCGGCAAGCCUGUAACAUACUAUAUACAGCAAUAGGAGCAAAAAUCUAAUAAAUUCAUUACAGGCUUGCCAAUAAAAAUAGCAGGUUACCUACACACCAGGAAACAUAAACUUGAGAGGUUGAGAUGAAGGCCUAUCAACUACAUCAGUUUUAAACACUACAGGACCAGACAGUAGGUGAUGCUUCAAAUUUCAAAACUCAAUCAUUCAUGAUUAAUAGUAGCAAUUUAAUCUUACAAAACAUAGGGGCAUGUACAACAUGAGAGCACACUACAACCAGAACUUACAACCAGACCUUCCUCGAAUUUUAUGCACAGCCGCAGCAGAUAAGCUAUAUGAACAUAAUGAUAUAACCCAUAACUAACAAUACCAAUUUUAUGCAUCAUGAAUGAAGAAAUCAAAAUAGGAUGCUUUUCUUUACUAGUGUGUGGAGGAAAAGGAAAAGCAGCAGCACAUGCUUUUCCUAUUUGCUUUGCUUUCCUAUUAGCAUCUCCGAUCAAUCAAAAAGGAUGCAGCAAGUGAUUACAUUAACCCCGAUUCAAAUAUUUCAAGUACUGGACAAUCAUUUCAUGCAGCCAUUCAUAAACAUACUACUACAAGGGAACUACAACUUUUUAUUUUUAAGCAUAACGUUUAAGUAUGUAAACUUUUCUCUAGAGUCCCUACACACUACACACUACUACUCAACUACUGUAUGUGUGUAGUACUAUGUCAGUAAGCAGCAGAGGAGAUUUAAAAGGAAGGACCAUGUGUGUGUAUGUAGAAAACACACACAAGAAACACUGAAUAUGAUCUAUUUAGUCGGACAGGUUCAGUUACGGACAACUCUGGGAAACAUGUACUACUAUAUGCUUCUCUGCCACAAGUGCCGAGAUUAUCUGUGGGAUUUUGGUGAACACCUUUUUAACUAGGCAGACAUUGUAUUUUUUAUAGUACAAAAUCCUAUCUUCUUUACAAUACAUGUAGCCAUCGUCCGUUGCUCUGUAGCUGUUGUGGAGUUGCCAGCACGAAAUAGAGCAAACAUAUAUUCGCAUUUCAGAGGGCCGACCAAUGUUUAUAUCAGGGGUGAAACAAUACCAAAAGUAGACAUGGAAUAUGGUCCAGUCGAUCAACCAUACUUUUAAAAGCUUACUUAUUAUACAUUACUACCGGGCAGUCCUUGGGAUUUCAAACAAGCAGAAACUCCAUCGACAAUUAACUACAAGAUCUAAUAGCAGAACCUACCUUUGCAUAACCAAAAGUACAUGUAUUAAUUCAAGCUAACAACUAAAAAGAAACAGAGACUUGAUGGCAGCAGGAUCAUCUUCCACUUGAGAAGCUGGCUGGAGUAGAAAAGGAUGAUUAGACGUGAAUAUGGAUAUAAGUGCACAUCAACUGCUUUUGCAUAAGCACACCAUAUAUAUACAUUGAUGUUUCGAGGUCGGUCUUGCCGUGGACUCACAAUCCACAUCCAACAGCCCACCAUCUCGUAUAUACAUCCAAAUCAUAAAAAUGGCGGUCAAACAACAAGGUAGUGCAAAGAAAUUAUGUAAGCUAUUGUGCUGGAUCACUAUCAUUCACGCAAUAACUAUCAAACACAUGCAUCAAUAGUUAAAUACUUCUGACAGACUAUCAAAGGUCAAACAUACUUGUUGGGAGUUUUCUUUUUCAGCAUGAGACACAAUAAUCUUAAGUAGCAACAAUGAAAAGAACUUCCUAACUACGGGUCCUCUUAUCGCCAACCAAGAACAUUAGGUGAUGAAAAACAAUGUAUUUUCAAAGCUAUACUUUAGCAAACCACCACUUCUCUACUAACAUGUGAGUGAAAUUACUACAUUAUUGUUCCAUAGAGUUUAUGUGUACAUUGGCCAUUAAUUGAUGAGGACUGAUGCAAUGGAUGCUGCCUUGGCAAC
Molecule: long non-coding RNA, 7841 nt
Filed under: Triticum aestivum (bread wheat)
Lineage: Eukaryota; Viridiplantae; Streptophyta; Magnoliopsida; Poales; Poaceae
Description: long non-coding RNA (TAES_LNC027873)
Source: RNAcentral